UCGGAUGAACAUUGUCACACCCGGUUUUAAAAAAGAAAACCAGCUAGCCAUAUGUGUGCCCAGGAAGUCCACACAUACAAUAACAGAAGCAAUAAUAUCAAAAACAAUGUUAUAUAGCGGAAAUAUACUUAAAAUUAAUACUUACAUCAGAGUAUCACGAAACAGUAACUAAUCUUCAGGCUUAACCUUCACAGGGACGGCUAACUGGGGGUAACAUAUGCCUAGCACUUCUGGUAUCCUGAGAACGUCCUUCGUGAUUCCACCAUCCUUCUAAUCAUCCCUUUAUAGUAGACUGGAGUGGUGGGAAAUAGCAAGAGUGAGCACAUAUCGUACUCAACAAGUAUAACCAGGGGUUCAUGAGGCUCAAACAGCUGACACUGGUUUGACUGCAUUUAGCUUUUACUAGUGGAUAGCAUGUUUAAUCAUUGGAUAGCAAAUAUCAAGGUAGCAUAAUUAAUCCCAUAACCACAUGAUCAAUGUAUACAAGAAUCAAGAAUAACACAUAUAAACAACAUAAUAAAUCAUCAGUUAUUAUCAUUAAUCAUGUUCAUCAGUGUCCAUCUAUUCCGUCAGUUUUCCGGGCCGCCCGUAUCCGUGGGCACGGCUAGUAUACCAGAUUUAACACUCUGCAGAGGUUGUACAUCUUUACCCAUGAGUCGUGAUUUACCAUUUCGCCCGAGGUAGCUAGUCUCUUAACCCCCUCCAAGGGAGGUCGGCAGGGAUCACAAUGAAGCUUUUCAAAAGUUCGUCUAACAUGUUAGGGCCGCAAGGUUUCCUUCACGAGCAGAUAUAGAUACCCCCUUCCGAAUGGCACAAUGACGCGCAGCCUAUACACAUAGGGACAGGGGCUCGCACUAUACCCGUGUCGGUUCAGCCCCUCUAGCGCCCUUUUGGGUAACCUCUAACAAGCUAAAAAAGGUCUUCAUACUGAGCUAAAGCCAGAGCCAUAUAGCCCUCAUGGUUGUACGAGUUGUCCCAGCUUUUGCCAAGGGAUAAGUCCUUAUGAAGGGUCAAGAUCAAUCCAGCAAUAGCUAGAGUUCUUUCCACCCUUUAUAUUCAAGUUGCUAGAAAGCUUAUUUUAUUGUUUAUUGUGUAUCCAACUAUUCAUGUUAUAAGAUCAUGGAUUAAUAAUCAAGCACUAGCAAGAACUACCCAAAUGCAUAUCCAAAUAGGUAACAAGGAAUUCAGGAUAACAAUCAUCUAUGAUUUUGCUAAGGUCAUCAAGGUGGGCACAUGCAUAUGAUAUAUAUUAAAAGUGUGUAGGUAACAAGGAUAAUCCCAAGUUAUACUUGCCUUAAGCACUUGCACAAUUCUCACAUCAUCAGCUUUUGGUCAUCACCUUCUUCGGCGCUCACAAACAAUUCUCGUCUACUCGUAGCAAGCACCACACAUAGACAAACAUACAAGCAACAAAUAGAACAAAUAAGAACAACACAUCAAUGAGAAGAAAUACUUUAAAAGAGAGCGUACUAAACAGCCUAGAACGGAGCUAUCGUUAAAAGGAUUGCGACUGUUGUGACUGACUAUAAAAAGAGGCAAAAUACUCUGAAGUGUAUUUAUUUUAUUUUAGUAAAACUAGGUGAUGCAUAUUUUAGAGAAAUAUCCUAAGGUAGAAUUAAUUAAUUUAGAUUGAUUAUAAAGCCAGAGUUAAAACUUAAUUAUAUUUUAUUAUUACAAAUAAUUAUAUAUCAUUUAAUCUAUUUAAGUAUUUAUAAUUUAGGAAGCAUAGAGCAAGUGAGAGCAACUAAUUGAAUAAUCAUGUUUCAAGGUUUAUCUAAGCAGAUCAUAUUUCAACAGACUUUAAUGUUGGUAUUGAUCAUAUUAACAUUUAUUUAUGAAAUACUAGAGUUAUAAACUUAAGUUGUUGUUAAUAAAUUAAAAGACAGCAGGUAAACAUUAACCAUAUUAGUUACCAUUUAAUAUUUAGCUAAACCACUAUAAUUAAGAAACAUUUAAGUUGUUAUUAAUUAUAUUGACAGUUAUUUAUUUAUUUACAAGGAUUGAAAUUAUAAAUCUAAGUCAUCUUUCGUUCAAGAAGACACAUAUAAACAUGAAUCAAAUUAAUAUGAUUAAUUAAAUUCCUAAACCUAUAACAUAACAAACAUUGUUGCUAACAAGUAGCUUAUGGUCGGCACAGUCGUGGCGCAAUCAAGAAUGAAUUUACGACCCUAAGUUGGUUUCAGUUAGCUAUUAGAUAAAUACUAGCAAAUUACAUUUAAAUUAAAUUAAUAAAAAUUCAGAAUUUCGAUACAUAAUAAACAUUUGUACCACUGUGUAGAGUGCGAUAACACAAAUCUAACACAACUUGAACGAACUAAAUUGGAGUUAGAAUGAUUAAACUGCGGAGAAUACGAACGGGUGGCAAUUUCAUAAAUACCUCAUCUUCUUCCUUGGAUUAGCCGAACGUGACCCCUAUGGCCAUGGCCACGAAGUGGCAGGGAAAAGGGGCUCGGCUUGGGCAUACUUGCCGGCUGGGACGAGGUGCGGACGACGAAGCCACGUCUGGCUGGGCCAACCACCUCCGCAUGAUCUAUUGUUGGGCAAACUGUGAACUAAUCUCUCUCUGAUCUCGUAGCCAAUAACCUGAUAGCCUCUGUGUGAGAUCGAUUUGCCCUCCAAGCCUUUGUAGCAUGCCACCGUGGAGCAGCAAACAAACACAGACACACCAUGCUGCCUCUGUCUGUGCGUGCAGCAGGGCAGGCCGCCGGGAAACAAUGGCGGGUAGAAACGCAUAGUUAGCGAGCUGAGCAAAUGGACGGAUGCCAGAGGAAGAUCGGGAGAUGGAUGGGAGGAUGAUGCGGCGUUGCCCUCGGCAAGCAAGAUCAAUCGAGACGAUCGAGUCUCGAGCCGAGCGAUGCGUGCGGCGGCAGCUUGGCUUUU
RNAcentral lists this long non-coding RNA (2880 nucleotides) under Sorghum bicolor (sorghum). RNAcentral's name for it is "long non-coding RNA (SBIC_LNC010211)". Lineage: Eukaryota; Viridiplantae; Streptophyta; Magnoliopsida; Poales; Poaceae. The record is from RNAcentral.